RNAcentral lists this ribosomal RNA (499 nucleotides) under uncultured bacterium. RNAcentral's name for it is "partial 16S ribosomal RNA". It matches the Rfam family "Bacterial small subunit ribosomal RNA", at positions 899 to 1397 of the family's 1533-position model. The record is from RNAcentral.
ACUCAAAUGAAUUGACGGGGGCCCGCACAAGCGGCGGAGCAUGCGGAUUAAUUCGAUGCAACGCGAAGAACCUUACCAAGGCUUGACAUCAACUAGUAAGACCUAGAGAUAGGUCCCCCACUUGUGGCUGGUUGACAGGUGGUGCAUGGUUGUCGUCAGCUCGUGUCGUGAGAUGUUGGGUUAAGUCCCGCAACGAGCGCAACCCUCGUUCUAUGUUGCCAGCACGUAAUGGUGGGGACUCAUAGGAGACUGCCGGGGUCAACUCGGAGGAAGGUGGGGAUGACGUCAAAUCAUCAUGCCCCUUAUGUCUUGGGCUUCACGCAUGCUACAAUGGCCGGUACAAAGGGUUGCGAUACUGUGAGGUGGAGCUAAUCCCAAAAAGCCGGUCUCAGUUCGGAUUGGGGUCUGCAACUCGACCCCAUGAAGUUGGAGUCGCUAGUAAUCGCAGAUCAGCAACGCUGCGGUGAAUACGUUCCCGGGCCUUGUACACACCGCCCGU